AUCUUGCUGACAAGUCCCAACUAGGACGAAACACGCGUCCUGGAU
Molecule: non-coding RNA, 45 nt
Filed under: Schistosoma margrebowiei
Lineage: Eukaryota; Metazoa; Platyhelminthes; Trematoda; Strigeidida; Schistosomatidae
Source: RNAcentral